UACAGAGGGUGCGAGCGUUAAUCGGAAUUACUGGGCGUAAAGCGCACGUAGGUGGCGACGUAAGUCGGGUGUGAAAGCCCCGGGCUCAACCUGGGAAUUGCAUUCGAGACUGCAUUGCUGGAGUACGGAAGAGGAAGGCGGAAUUCCCGGUGUAGCGGUGAGAUGCGUAGAUAUCGGGAGGAACAUCAGUGGCGAAGGCGGCCUUCUGGUCCAGUACUGACACUCAAGUGCGAAAGCGUGGGGAGCAAACAGG
Molecule: ribosomal RNA, 253 nt
Filed under: uncultured bacterium
Lineage: Bacteria
Description: partial 16S ribosomal RNA
Rfam family: Bacterial small subunit ribosomal RNA
Source: RNAcentral